This 332-nucleotide ribosomal RNA is filed under the name uncultured bacterium. RNAcentral describes it as "bacterial SSU rRNA". It matches the Rfam family "Bacterial small subunit ribosomal RNA", at positions 568 to 898 of the family's 1533-position model. The record is from RNAcentral.
UGCGUAGGCGGUUUGGUAAGUCUUGUGUGAAAUCUAUGGGCUCAACUCAUAGCCUGCACGAGAAACUGCCGGGCUUGAGUAUGGGAGAGGUGAGUGGAAUUUCCGGUGUAGCGGUGAAAUGCGUAGAUAUCGGAAGGAACACCUGUGGCGAAAGCGGCUCACUGGACCAUAACUGACGCUGAUGCACGAAAGCUAGGGGAGCAAACAGGAUUAGAUACCCUGGUAGUCCUAGCCCUAAACGAUGACUGCUUGGUGUGACGGGUACCCAAUCCCGCCGUGCCGAAGCUAACGCGUUAAGCAGUCCGCCUGGGGAGUACGGUCGCAAGGCUGAA